AUGAGAUCUCCCACUGGAUAACCAGGUAAGGCCCGUGGCAGACCACCACGUUGAUAGGCCGGAUGUGUAAGCACGGUGACGUGUUCAGCAGACCGGUACUAAUCGGCCGAGGGCUUGGGCUC
Molecule: ribosomal RNA, 122 nt
Filed under: Acidimicrobiaceae bacterium
Lineage: Bacteria; Bacillati; Actinomycetota; Acidimicrobiia; Acidimicrobiales; Acidimicrobiaceae
Description: partial 23S ribosomal RNA
Rfam family: Bacterial large subunit ribosomal RNA
Source: RNAcentral